RNAcentral lists this ribosomal RNA (497 nucleotides) under uncultured bacterium. Its description in RNAcentral is "partial 16S ribosomal RNA". It matches the Rfam family "Bacterial small subunit ribosomal RNA", at positions 28 to 507 of the family's 1533-position model. The record is from RNAcentral.
GAUGAACGCUGGCGGCGUGCCUAAUACAUGCAAGUCGAGCGAACGGACGAGAAUCUUGCUUCUCUUAUGUUAGCGGCGGACGGGUGAGUAACACGUGGAUAACCUACCUAUAAGACUGGGAUAACUUCGGGAAACCGGAGCUAAUACCGGAUGAUAUUUUGAACCGCAUGGUUCAAAAGUGAAAGACGGUCUUGCUGUCACUUAUAGAUGGAUCCGCGAUGCAUUAGCUAGUUCGUAAGGUAACGGCUUACCAAGGCAACGAUGCAUAGCCGACCUGAGAGGGUGAUCGGCCACACUGGAACUGAGACACGGUCCAGACUCCUACGGGAGGCAGCAGUAGGGAAUCUUCCACAAAGGGCGAAAGCCUGACGGAGCAACGCCGCGUGAGUGAUGAAGGUCUUCGGAUCGUAAAGCUCUGUUAUUAGGGAAGAACAUAUGUGUAAGUAACUGUGCACGUCUUGACGGUACCUAAUCAAAAAGCACCGGCUAACUACGUG